This is a non-coding RNA of Lolium perenne, 709 nucleotides long. Lineage: Eukaryota; Viridiplantae; Streptophyta; Magnoliopsida; Poales; Poaceae. The record is from RefSeq and is a predicted model, not a curated record.
UCCAUAUAUAGGAUGCAAUAGCGGAAAUAUAUAUGGUGUUUCUGUUAGAGCAAUUGUCCAAGGAAUUGUCCUGGGAUUUACGUAUGGAUUGGCCAUUUGUUCAUGUGCUUUACAACUCUGAGUUGGAAGGCACCUGAUUGCUUGUGGGAAAGCUGAUGGUGGUGAAGUUGUGGUAGCUUUAUUCGCAGUAAUUCCGAGUGGCAUUGGUCUGAACCAGGCAGCUACAGAACUUCAUUUUAUUAGAGCCAGGACGGAUUGCUGCUUAUAGGCUGCACGAGAUGAUAAGACGUUUAACUGCAAGCACCAAUCUUGAAGGGACCACCAUACCCAAAGUUGCAGGGGAACAUCGAAUUUAGAAACAUGUACUUCAGUUAUCUCUCACAUUCCUGGUUCAGAAUCUCAUGGGCAGGGUGGAUCUGAUGAACCACUGGACAUAGAAAAUAACAAUUCCAAUGGCAAGGAUGAGUUACCUACGGAUCAAAGUGGUGAACCAGGGAUAAAGCAGCAGAAGAGGCUUUCAUCUUCAAAUGUGAGUUCCAUGUCAUAGCUUCACUUUAUUACACUUACCUCAUAUCCGGGUUUUAACAGUAAUACCAAUAUACACUGAUGCAGUUUUGUGAAACAAAUCAAGCGGUUGUGCAUGCUUUUUAGCUUGAUUUGUCACAUUAUAUAUUGUGACAUGAUGGUACUUGUGUCUACGUUCAUAUGG